AAGAGCAGCUUUUCUAAUCUUACCAUCUCCCUGCUUUAAAGGCCUGCAUUUUGAACUCUGACCAGAUGUGAACUCCUUUGGAUCUGAUCUAGAUGUCAUGUAAGUAGUUCCUUCUUCAGUCUGUGGCAAGCUGCUGAGUGAGUUAAAAAGGCUGACACGAAGAAUGGCAGCAGAAUUACCCUCUGCACCUCAGUACAUGGGAUCCCC
Molecule: long non-coding RNA, 207 nt
Filed under: Taeniopygia guttata (zebra finch)
Lineage: Eukaryota; Metazoa; Chordata; Aves; Passeriformes; Estrildidae
Description: lncRNA (ENSTGUG00000022716.1)
Source: RNAcentral